AGUCCUCUGUGCACAAUUUUAUCAUUUUUUACGCAAAUAUAUCGUUUAAUCGUCAAUUUUUUCUCUCUCUGUCUGUUAUGAUUUAACAAAUAUGGCUACUCAUUAAAUGCCGUGUUUUGAAGCCGACGUUUACUGAUUGUCACCUUAUAGUAAACAAAUAACAAAACGCAUGGGUAUUGAGCACGUGUUUAAUAUGUAUAAUCAGAUAAUUGUUUAUUUUAAUGACAGAUCCAUGCGUAUUGCGAUCACCGGAUUUUUACGAGGAGGG
This 268-nucleotide long non-coding RNA is filed under the name Mytilus galloprovincialis (Mediterranean mussel). The record is from RNAcentral. Lineage: Eukaryota; Metazoa; Mollusca; Bivalvia; Mytilida; Mytilidae.